RNAcentral lists this ribosomal RNA (253 nucleotides) under uncultured prokaryote. Its description in RNAcentral is "partial 16S ribosomal RNA". It matches the Rfam family "Bacterial small subunit ribosomal RNA", at positions 525 to 777 of the family's 1533-position model. The record is from RNAcentral.
ACAGAGGUCUCAAGCGUUGUUCGGAAUCACUGGGCGUAAAGGGUGCGUAGGCUGCGCCGUAAGUCAGAUGUGAAAGCUCAGGGCUCAACCCUGAAAUUGCAUCCGAUACUGCGGUGCUUGAGAAAUGAAGGGGAGUCUAGAAUUUUCGGUGUAGCAGUGAAAUGCGUAGAUAUCGAAAGGAAUACCAAAGGCGAAGGCAGGACUCUGGGCAUUUUCUGACGCUGAUGCACGAAGGCCAGGGUAGCGAACGGGA